This 253-nucleotide ribosomal RNA is filed under the name uncultured bacterium. RNAcentral describes it as "partial 16S ribosomal RNA". It matches the Rfam family "Bacterial small subunit ribosomal RNA", at positions 524 to 776 of the family's 1533-position model. The record is from RNAcentral.
UACGUAGGGUGCGAGCGUUAAUCGGAAUUACUGGGCGUAAAGUGUGCGCAGGCGGCCGCGCAAGUCGAGUGUGAAAGCCCCGAGCUUAACUUGGGAAUUGCGCUCGAAACUACGUGGCUGGAGUGUGGCAGAGGAAGGUGGAAUUCCACGUGUAGCAGUGAAAUGCGUAGAGAUCAUGAGGAAGACCAGUGGCGAAGGCGGGUCUCUGGACAGUUCCUGACACUGAGGCACGAAGGCCAGGGGAGCAAACGGG